GCAUUGGUGGUUCAGUGGUAGAAUUCUUGCUUCCCACGCGGGAGUCCUCUGUCUGAUUCCUGGCCAAUGCA
Molecule: non-coding RNA, 71 nt
Organism: Danio rerio (zebrafish)
Lineage: Eukaryota; Metazoa; Chordata; Actinopteri; Cypriniformes; Danionidae
Source: Rfam